CGAGAAUCAAAAUCCCAAAAAUUCAAAACUGCCACUCAAAACUCUCCCCCCUUUCUCAGAGCCCUCUUCUCCCUCAUUCGUCGAUCACUGGCGAAAUAAUUUUGUUACGGCUUGCGAGGAGAAGCGAAUUCACUUGCGGAGGAGCGAAAUCACUUUCUCUCUCAUCUCACGUUCUUCUUCGGCAAAGCUAGGGUUUGCAGCAUUGCAGUAGAACUCACUGAUUUUCUGAACAAUGAGAGUAAUUAAGAUCAUUGAUUUGGUGAACUCUGCCGUAGAAUGGGAUUCUGAACUUCAGAGUGAUGAUGGAUGAUAAUCAUGAUAACUUGAUAAAGGGUGCUGAUGCGUUCUCCUACGAAGUGAUGGACUGAUGGUUGGCAUAAUCCUUAUCACCUGUCAAACCAUGAUCUUGUCAGCUCAUUGCUUCUGGCCAUCUUCGCUCUUUGUGCUCCAAAGCCAGGCAUUUUGCACGUUUUGGAAUCAAAGGGACAGAGACAACUUCCGCCUCAAGUGAAGUGUUCAAAUACAAACAAGGAGUUCCAGGUGGCUUUGGUUUUUUGCUUGCUCCCAAUGCAACAUCUUCAAGCAGACCCUUUUAGAUCAUGACUUUUGCCAGGUAUUUAUCCAAUGAUCACAACUGAAAACUUCUAGCAUACCCAAUGAAUGAUCCUACUUGACUAUUUGUAGUAACUGCAAACUGCCGCCCUCAACUGAAUAACCAGUUACCUUGGCGAAUUAUUAAAUGCACCCGGGAGCACCUAGCUUUGUGCUCUAAGGAGGCCUGUGAUGACCAAUUGACCACGGGCCGGUUCACGCAAGGUAAAUGCACCGGGAGCACCUAGCUUUGUGCUCCUAAGGAGGCCUGUAAUGAACACGGGCCGGUUCACGUACAAGUGGUGUAACUAAUGGAAUUACCUUGGCGAAUUAUUAAAUGCACCCGAGAGCACCUAGCUUUGUGCUCUAAGGAGGCCUGUGAUGACCAAUUGACCACGGGGCGGUUCACGCAAGGUAAAUGCACCCGGGAGCACCAAGCUUUGUGCUCCUAAGGAGGCCUGUAAUGAACACGGGCCGGUUCACUUGCAGGUGGUGUAACUAGUGGAAUUAUUAAAUGCACCCGGGAGCACCUAGCUUGUGCUCCUAAGGAGGCCUGGGACCACGGGCUGAUCACGCAAGGUAAAUGCACCCGGGAGCACCUAGCUUUGUGCUCCUAAGGAGGCCUGUAAUGAACACGGGCCAGUUCACGUGCAAGUGGUGUAAUUAGUGGAAUUAUUAAAUGCACCCGGGAGCACCUAGCUUUGUGCUCCUAAGGAGGCCUGUGAUGACCAAUUGACCACGGGCCGGGUCACGUACAAGUGGUGUUACUAGUGGAUUUACCUUAGCAUAUUAUAAAAUGCACCUGGGAGCACCUAGCUUUGUGCUCCUAAGGAGGCCUGUGAUGACCACAUGGCCGGUUCACGCAAGUUGCAAGUGGUGUAACUAGUGGGAUUACAGAUAACUUGCCCUAUCCCUCUCCACUUUUGGUUCACAUUCUCAUCUGUCAGAUUGUAGUAAAAACCUUACAGGAAGCAAAGCAUGUAAGAGCAAUAAUAUUCCCUACCUCUCUAGCCUCUACCACGACAUUUUGGUAUCAAUUGGACGUACGUUCCCAGUCAACAAGGCUCCCGCUAUUUAUCGCUGGGGAAGGUCCACCACCCUUUGAUAUCAAAUGGUACACAACAAUAAUAGAACUUGCUUGUAAUAGAAGAGAGAGAAAGUGAGACAGAACAUCUGCAACAAACUAGGCCUAGAGAUUUCAAAUUGCAUGCUUGAUAAUUGAUACCAGCAAAAAUACAUCUCUCCCUUCAUUCAUGAUUACAACUAACAUAUGAAAUCUACACCAUUUAUUUCUCAAAUCUUCAUCCUUACCACAACUAGAAGGGGAAAUAUCUAAAGAAUCCAGAAAGUCCAAAGAGUAAAAAUAAGACGGACCAUUUAUCGUAGUAUUAAUCGAUAUUCAUGGAUACAACCCCCCGUUUAUUUCCCAAAUGGUGAGGCAAUAUGGGGGGUGCUAACAAAAUCUAGAUACAGAAAAGAAUGAACAAACUGAAACCAAAUCCAACUGGACACAGAUAUCGGAAUGUGAAAAGUGAAAAAAAAGUAAAAAAAAAUACACAUCCACACACAUAAACAUAUAAGAGGGGGAUAUGUAUAAAGUUCCUCACUCAAAAUCCCAAGGGAACUUGGGGUUGAAGAGCUUUGGAGUGACUGAUCCCGGUGAUGAUGUAGGGGAAACCGGGAUAAGUGGCGGUGCAGACUCGAAAGUCUCCCAUUGUGUUGUUACAACAGUCCCAGCCGCGGAAGUUGAAUGCCUUGAUGGCUCUUGCUGCGGCUUUGGCUGUAAUGGCGAGUGGCCUAUAGAAUUCCUUUGUCGCUGUGAUGGAAGGGGCGGUUUUCCCAAAUUUGAUGUUUUCUCUUGACUAUAACCAUUACCAAUGACUGAGUUUUUAGCAUUCCCAUUUGAAUAUCUCUGUUGAUUUUCGUUGUUUGUUGUAUGAGCUCCAUUUGCUGCUGGUGUUGAGUUUUUGGCCUUCAACACAUCUAAAGUCUCCACAUACUUCUGAACUCGUCUCACCUACAUGAAAAAUAUGAGAAAUGUGAAAUCAUAGCUAAUUAGGCUCUGUUCUCUUCGCCUGAUUGGUUUGAUUUUUCUAGUUUCUGGUCUGGCAUGGUCUGAUUUUUCCUGGUUAGUUCUGAAUGCUUUCUGCUAGUGAUUUUUUUUCCUUUUCUGAUGUGGUCUAAUAAACAAUAAGAAUACGGUGAAGAGAAUAGAUUGUAACGAACUUCAAAGCUGAGUUCUUGAGAGAAUACUUAUUAGAAUCAGGAGUUUAAUUACCUGCAUCUUUCGUUGCAACUUCACAUCUCCAUCGGCGGUAAUACCGUCUAAUUUGAUCAGUUCAUUCAUUAGUAAUUCAAUGACACCCACAACAUCCUUCUCUGCUACUCUUCCCCCUUUCGAGAUCACUGAUUCAAGAGCUGACACCUGCACCCAAUUACAGUAAAAACAAUUAAAAACAAAAAACUCAUAAUUACACUUUUUCAAGUUCUUUAACCAAAUUUCCUCGAUUUGGAAGUCACACACAAACAAACAUUCUUCAUCAACACUUCCAAAUCCAAACAUAAUCAAUCCCCAAUACGACCCAUUGUCGGAACAACAAUCAUAUUUCAUCCCCUCGAACUGUAAUUGAAGUUCAAGAACAUCAAGAAAGCAAUAAUCAACUCUGUCACACUUCCAAAUCCAAAACAUAAUCACUUAACCAGUCCCCAAUUCGAGCAAUUGUUGGAACAAUCAUAUUAACUGUAAUUGAAGGUCAAGAACAUCAAUAAAGUGAAUUACCUGACCGCCAAGUCUAUCAACUUGUAAGCUGAUCUCUGAAAUAGUCUUGGCAGCUUUCUCCAUUUUAGCGUUCUUCCUCAUUUCAAGGUACCUUUUCUCCUGACUAAUUGGAUCCUCCACCAAUACCAAUUUCGAUUUAUCCUUCACCCCAACAAUAUCCAAAAACUCCUUUGAAUCUCUCUCUUUAUCCUUGUAAUACACCUUCAUAUCUUGAUGAUGCAACCCUGUUGGCUCUGCUAACAUUUUCUUCAAUUCCCC
Long non-coding RNA from Spinacia oleracea (spinach), 3628 nucleotides. RefSeq lists it as uncharacterized. The record is from RefSeq and is a predicted model, not a curated record. Lineage: Eukaryota; Viridiplantae; Streptophyta; Magnoliopsida; Caryophyllales; Amaranthaceae. The transcript has 4 exons.